RNAcentral lists this long non-coding RNA (3813 nucleotides) under Canis lupus familiaris (dog). RNAcentral's name for it is "lncRNA (ENSCAFG00000058980.1)". Lineage: Eukaryota; Metazoa; Chordata; Mammalia; Carnivora; Canidae. The record is from RNAcentral.
UUUUUUUUUUUUUUUAGCCUUUAGUAAUUACUAUCCUACAUUCUUUCUCUAUGAAUAUGACUCUUCUGGGAAUUAAUCAUUCUUACCAGGGUUUUGUUGAAAGCUGCAUCAGCAACUUACUGUCUCUGAGAUCCAAUUUCACCCUUCAAUACAGGCUCCACAAUAAUGGAUGGAAUUCCUUUAAGCAUUUCUCCUCUACAAAGAGCACCUGUUAAGCUUUCUCAGCAGAGGGUACUAGAGGGGUAAUGCUGGAGGAAGGGGCCCUCCUGCUGGUUCUGGCAUCCACACUGUCAGUGGUGGUACUCUGACCCAACCACAGGCCCAGAGCUCAUGGUCCUUUGGUGACUUUACAGCCUCAACCUGGCCAAUGAUUACCUUCCUGUGGCCUUCUUGACAUGGACACCAUAUCUUCCAGGCCUCCUGUCUGCUGUGGUACCUCACUCUCUCUGCAUGCUCAGGUGUCAGACCACUGGCUACAGUUUUUCUAUACCCCACCUGUGCCCCAGAGAAUUGCUUCCUGCUUGUCAACUGAUUGUAAGACUAGUAUGGUCUGGGCAAAUCUCUGCCAUCCGGUGGUUACAAUCCUAGCCUUGGGAAGGGGGUCCCCCUUUUAUGCCUGUCCUUGCUUGGUACUCUCCUUCAGUCCUAGGGUACCAUAUAGAGUUCUCCUUAUUUUAUAAGUGCUCUUUUAUCAAAAUGUUUAAAAUAUUUAUAUUAAACUUCCCUUAUUUAAGUCACUGUGUGGUUUCUGUCUGAUGUUUACAUCUGACAGAUAUAAACCAGGAUAAUCCUGCACUAACCUGAGUGUGUGGUUGCCUCUUCUAGAAAUGGAAGGGAAAGUCUUGACUGCAUUUGAAACUCUGAUUGAUAGUUUAUUUCUGAACUGUAUCUACCUACUGACUACUACCUUCCCAAGACAAAUUUGUUUCUUCAAAAUAAAUUCUAGCUUUUGUCUUUAAGAGAGCUAAAGUGUAUCUCUGUUACUUGAAACCAAGAGAAUCAUCACUGAUAAAAAUGUAGCUUCACAUUCUCUCAAAUAUGGCUCAGAAAAAAGGAUAGAGGGAUAAAGAAAGAGUACUCUAAAGGCAGAAGAAAAGAGGGGAAGGAAGACUAUGCCGAGGAUUAACACGACAGCAAAUUCUCAAUUGAGCUUGAUUUUGAUGUUAGGGCUUCAGGUCCCGUGACUCACCUCUCUUGUCACCACUGGAGAAUUCGCCCAAGGGGAGUCAAGUGAGGCACUGGCCCAGUGAUUCUGAAUGCAAAGGAACAUGGCUGAGGUCAAAUGAAGCCUCCUACUCCCACUUCAACCAGACUUUGGGAUCUGUUCAUCCAGUGUGUAUUUGAGAGUUGAGUGUGAAUAGCCAAUCCAAGUUCACUCACCAGCUGGUGUAAGGACCAGGGCUGCCUCACACCCUCAACCACCAGAGGGUAGAGUAGGAGCCCACUAGCUGGCACCACACUUCUGGUGAAGGGAACAUUCUGGACUGGUUCUGCUCAGCAGACAGAGUAAGUCCCUGCCUGUUAGUAAAGCAUGUCCUAGUAAAUGUCAGACUUUUGCCAAUCACAUUUGCCAUUUCUGUCUGAGAAGGAGUGAGCAAUGGGGAGGAGAGAGAGAAGCUUCCUCCCCUGCAUUUCUCUUCAUAGGAAGAAAAUACCAAAAUGUUGGUGUUAAUUCCCUCCUCCAUGAACCGAGAUGGGAAUUAAGGGAGAGAAAAAGAAUACAAAUGUCCUCCCUUCCAAUAGUUACUUUUCCUUUAUCUAUCCAAUGAAGUUUUUUUUUUAAAGUCUUCAGUGUUUGAUGAAUUAUACUAAUUCAUGAAUUAUGCUAAUCACAGAAUCAUUUUUAUCUUUCAAAGUGCCUUUUUUCACAGUAAAAAAAGAGUCAUACGUUAACCCUCAGUAGAGAGUGCAACUUGAGAUGCUUUUGUUAUGAAUGGAGUGAAGCUAAGUGGAUCUAUCCACCCUCUUUCACCUAGGAGUACAAAGUUGGAUAAGAUAUAGUGUGCCUUUUAAAAGUGGGGUACUUCCACUCAUAUUGUGCUUCUCUUGGCUUUGCCAAGGAGAAAGCUAAUUAAAUUUGGCUCCAACCAAUCAUAAUGGAUUAUAACGCAAGAAUGGGUUUUACAACCAAACAGAACAGAUGCCACAGCAAAGGGAAGGGAUGCUGGCUGGAAACAGUGGAGCAGGCUAUGUUGUAUGAUUCAGGUGCAUACAGCUCUGAAUCUGUGAGAAUCUAACCCUAAGAUGGUAGAAAGGACUGCAGGGAAGCCCCUGACUGUUCUGACUGAAGUCGUAUCUUCUGAUCUAAAUCAACUGCAUCUGAAUAUACUAAAAGAGAAAAAUCUGCUAGGUGGGGCACCUGGGUGGCUCAGUGGUUGAGCAUCUGCCUUUGGCUCAGGUCAUGAUCCUGGGGUCCUGGGAUCAAGUCUUGCAUCAGGCUCCCCAAUGAGAGCCUGCUUCUCCCUCUGCCUGUCUCUGCCUUUCUCUCUGUCUCUCAUGAAUAAAUAAAUAAAAGCUUAAAAGAAAAAAAAAAAAGAAAAAAAGAAAAACCUCCCAGGCAGUUAGAGAUUUACUGAGAAUAUUUUCCCUGAAACCUACUCUUGCCAUAGUCUUAAUCCAUCAGUACAUCGCAACACAGUUUUUCUAGUUACCCUGGCCAAAGCUCUGGAGUCAACCAUUUCUCAUCUUUUUACUCUAAUAUCCCACAUUAGCACUGUAAGCAAAUCUUGGUCAUUCCAUCUUCAAAAUAUGUCCAUUAGCUGACUACUUCUUAUCACUACUAUUACUAUUUUCCAGGCCAUGCCACCACUGUUCUUGCCUGGAUGGCUGCAGUAGUUUCCUUACUGUCUGCUUCCCCACUUCAUUCUAUUCCUAACCUGACGGCCAAAAGUGAUUCCAUUAAAACAGAAGUUAGGUGGUGUCACUCUUCUCCUGCAAGGCCCUAUACCAUCUGGAUUCCCAUUACCUCUCUGAUUUUCUUUCCCACUAGGACAGUGUGGUGGGCCUGAUGACAAAAACUGGUCCUAAUUUUCCACCCUUCACUAUAUUCACACCCUUUGACUUCAAGAGUCUCCCCGUAAAGAAGUGGAGUUUGUUCUCCAUCUCUGGAAACUAAGCUGCUUUAAUGAAUUGCUUUGGUCAGUAGAAUGUAGUAGAAGUGCCAUUGUUUCAGUUCUGAACUCAGACCUUAAGAGGUCUUGUGUGUACUCUCCUUCCUCACCAUCUCCUCUCUUUCACUCCUCUUCUCUUCUCCUCUUUCUCUCUUCUUUCUUUCUCUUUUUCCUUUCUUUCCUCUUCCUCCUCCCUCCAUACUCCUGCUAUGACAUGAGAACAGAACAUCAUCCUACUGGAGGAUGUGAGGCACACAGGCAUAUGAAGCAGAGCUAAGUCAACCCAGCUGUCUUAUUGAAAACCAAGAUAGGUAAGAGAGCUCAGGCAAAGUCAGCAAAAUUGUGCUGAUUUGCAGCUAACUGCAUAGGCGUGAGUGCGCCCUGACAAGCUCAUCUCAUCUCAACAGAACCACCCAGAGGAUCUGUAGACUCAUGAGUAAAACUAAAUGCUAUUGUGUACCACUGAGGUUCUGAGGUUGCCUGCUACUCACCAUUCUUGUGGGAUAGAUGACUGAUAGAGUAACCCCCCCACCCCCACCCAUUCUUCUCCAGCCAUAAUAGCCUUCUGAAAAGCACCGGCCAUACUUCUACAUCAGAGGCUUUGUAGUUACUGUUCCCUCUGGCUAGAAUCCUCUUCCUGGAUCCACCUCACUCUCAAUAGCUGCAUGCCUUGAUCCCUAACCUUCAGAUCUUCUUCUAACAC